ACUGUUCAUCUCAGAUCAUCAGGCAUUACUUAGAUUCUCAUAAGAGCGCAUAACCUAGAUCCCUCGCAUGCACAGUUCACAAUGGAGUUCACGCUCCUAUGAGAAUCUAAUGCUUUCGCUGAUCUGACAGGAGGUGGAGCUCAGGCAGUAAUGCUCACCUGCCUCUUAGCUGCUGUGCAAACCAGUUCUAACAAGCCACGGACGGGUACUACGGGUCCAUGGCCCAGGGACUGGGGACUCUCUAUAUCACUGGUGCUGCAUGGUGUAGUGCCUGAUGCUUAUGAAGAAGUUUAAGCAUGUACUGAGAUGAAAUCUUUUUUAUUUUCAAUUUGUUAAAUAAGGUAUAUUUUCAAUUUGACAUUUUCCAUGAAAUGAUGUUUAAAGAGGCAUUUGAGAAUAAUCUCAAAAUAAUCGAUACCGAAAAAAAUGCUUUGGUUUUGUUUAAAAGGGUAAAAUCCUUUGGGAUACUUAGCUAUCCAAAGUGUCUCUUUCUGGAGGUUUUUCCUCUUGAAGAGUCUGUCUGCAGGGAUGAUGAAGACAAGGCAAGGAAGAGAAAAGAAGGUGAUUUCCCAUAGGUAAGUUCUAGUGGGGGAAAAGAAGUGGCAUUACUUAGUAGAAGCCUUCAAAAUUUAUCAAGGGUUGAAAGUAGAUGCCUCGGAUUGUGGGUUUCUGAGAGAGAUGCGUCUAGUUGUUUAUAACCCCUUAAGGAGAGGGGGAAGAGCCUAAGAGCAGGGAAGACUUGGGAUGAAUGUUCUCGAAGCUUAGGUGCCCCAUCCUAAGCUUUGGAUCUGAUGAGAAGCUGCGGCAAUGGAAAGAGAAGGGCAGAGCACACCGGAUGUGAGGUGUGAAGAGUGAAAAGAUGUUAUUGGGGGCCAGAACCCAAAACAAUCAGACUGGCAGCUGAUGGUGAUGGUGUGCUAGUCACCCUGGCUAUUAGCUCUAGCAUCAGAAUGCUCAGUGACAUUUCUGAGUGGGGCUUAGUUUGGGAGGGGUUUGCUGCUGACAAAGCUGGAUGGAGUCAGAAUUAGGGGGAGCUGAUGAGAUUCAGAAUAUUGUCCGGAAUGAGAAACAGACUGCAUUGCCUUCCCUGC
This 1091-nucleotide long non-coding RNA is filed under the name Homo sapiens (human). RNAcentral describes it as "HSALNT0250888". Lineage: Eukaryota; Metazoa; Chordata; Mammalia; Primates; Hominidae. The record is from RNAcentral.